RNAcentral lists this ribosomal RNA (519 nucleotides) under uncultured eukaryote. RNAcentral's name for it is "SSU rRNA". It matches the Rfam family "Eukaryotic small subunit ribosomal RNA", at positions 1161 to 1702 of the family's 1831-position model. The record is from RNAcentral.
AGGGCACCACCAGGAGUGGAGCCUGCGGCUUAAUUUGACUCAACACGGGAAAUCUCACCAGGCCCGGACACCGGAAGGAUUGACAGAUUGAGAGCUCUUUCUUGAUUCGGUGGGUGGUGGUGCAUGGCCGUUCUUAGUUGGUGGAGCGAUUUGUCUGGUUAAUUCCGAUAACGAACGAGACUCUGGCCUACUAACUAGACGUUAGAUCCCUUUGUGGGUCUAUCGCAGCUUCUUAGAGGGACGGGCGGCGUUUAGCCGCACGAGAUUGAGCAAUAACAGGUCUGUGAUGCCCUUAGAUGUUCUGGGCUGCACGCGCGCUACACUGAAGGAAUCAGCGUGUGUUCCCUGUCCGAAAGGACUGGGAAACCCGUUGAACCUCCUUCGUGAUGGGGAUUGGGGAUUGCAAUUAUUCCCCCAUGAACGAGGAAUCCCCAGUAGGCGCGAGUCAUAAGCUUGCGUCAAUAACGUUCCUGCCCUUUGUACCACCGCCCGUCGCUACUACCGAUCGAGUGAUUUAGU